RNAcentral lists this long non-coding RNA (409 nucleotides) under Panax ginseng (ginseng). Its description in RNAcentral is "long non-coding RNA (PGIN_LNC009907)". Lineage: Eukaryota; Viridiplantae; Streptophyta; Magnoliopsida; Apiales; Araliaceae. The record is from RNAcentral.
UUAAUUAUCCUCGCUCUCUCUCUCUCUCUCUCUCUCUCUCUCUAGAAUGUAUAUGUAUUCUAUCUGUCUGCCCAGCCAUCCUUUGUGUUCAUCGCCAAAUAACUAACCCACUUCCGAUCGCCUCGCAGGCAUUCCGGCGAUCGAUGAUCGCCGUCAUCGGUCAAAUCUCACCGACGGUACCGGAUUCAAAUUACCAACGGUACAAUUUCUCCCCUCCGUUUGUACACUAGAUCAAUCUGUAUGCAAAUUCAUAUUCAAUGAGAAAUUUGCUAAACAUUACACUAAUUUGGAGUUUUUCUUAUGAAUGUGGAUUUGUAAUCGCUUACAAUCACAUCUCAAUACGAUGAUUUGAUUAUUCUUCGACGAAAAUACAAAGAAGCUUAGGUUAGGUUAGGGUUUUAUUGAAUCG